RNAcentral lists this ribosomal RNA (499 nucleotides) under uncultured bacterium. RNAcentral's name for it is "partial 16S ribosomal RNA". It matches the Rfam family "Bacterial small subunit ribosomal RNA", at positions 28 to 507 of the family's 1533-position model. The record is from RNAcentral.
GACGAACGCUGGCGGCGUGCCUAAUACAUGCAAGUCGUGCGGACCUUUUAAAAGCUUGCUUUUAAAAGGUUAGCGGCGGACGGGUGAGUAACACGUGGGCAACCUGCCUGUAAGACUGGGAUAACGCCGGGAAACCGGGGCUAAUACCAGAUCGUUUUUUCCUCCGCAUGGAGGAAAAAGGAAAGGCGGCUUCGGCUGCCACUUACAGAUGGGCCCGCGGCGCAUUAGCUAGUUGGCGGGGUAACGGCCCACCAAGGCAACGAUGCGUAGCCGACCUGAGAGGGUGAUCGGCCACAUUGGGACUGAGACACGGCCCAAACGCCUACGGGAGGCAGCAGUAGGGAAUCUUCCGCAAUGGACGAAAGUCUGACGGAGCAACGCCGCGGGAGUGAAGAAGGCCUUCGGGUCGUAAAACUCUGUUGCCGGGGAAGAACAAGUGCCGUUCGAACAGGGCGGCGCCUUGACGGUACCCGGCCAGAAAGCCACGGCUAACUACGUG